UCUCCGUAGGUGAACCUGCGGAGGGAUCAUUACAGAGUUCUCGCCCUCGCGGGUCGAUCUCCCACCCACUGGUAUCGUUACUGUGUUGCUUUGGCGGGCCACCGGGCCCCGCUCGGCCGCCCGCUCCGGCUUGCGCGGCCCCCCCAGUGGCCCCGCACACUAUGGAUGUUAGUGUCGUCUUAGUACUAUCUAAUAAUUAAAACUUUAAACAACGGAUCUCUUCUUUCUGGCAUCGAUAAAGAACCCAACCGAACGGGAAAACACACGACCUAACUUCAC
This 279-nucleotide unclassified non-coding RNA is filed under the name plant metagenome. RNAcentral describes it as "partial contains small subunit ribosomal RNA, internal transcribed spacer 1, and 5.8S ribosomal RNA". The record is from RNAcentral.